AUCCAGCUGACGAGUUCCAAAUAGGAGGAAGUGGCACGCGUCCUGAAU
This is a non-coding RNA of Schistosoma margrebowiei, 48 nucleotides long. NCBI's taxonomy places the organism in Eukaryota, Metazoa, Platyhelminthes, Trematoda, Strigeidida, Schistosomatidae. The record is from Rfam.